This 241-nucleotide ribosomal RNA is filed under the name Klebsiella pneumoniae. RNAcentral's name for it is "partial 23S ribosomal RNA". It matches the Rfam family "Bacterial large subunit ribosomal RNA", at positions 61 to 298 of the family's 2925-position model. The record is from RNAcentral. Lineage: Bacteria; Pseudomonadati; Pseudomonadota; Gammaproteobacteria; Enterobacterales; Enterobacteriaceae.
GUAAGCUGCGAAAAGCUUCGGUGAGGCGCAAGCGGCCUUUGACCCGGAGAUACCCGAAUGGGGUAACCCGUCCUGGAGUAGCCAGGACACCCGCAUAAAGCGGGGGGCACCCGGGGAAGUGAAACAUCUCAGUACCCGGAGGAAGAGAAAUCGCAAGAGAUUCCCUGAGUAGUGGUGAGCGAAAGGGGAAGAGCCCAAACCUGACGGACGUGAUAGGCUGCGGCCGUUGUCUGUUGGGGGU